AUUCAUUCAUUCAUUGAUUCCAUAAAUAUUCCUCUCCUCUCUAAAGGUACCAACUACCAACCCUAACCUCUCCUUUUCCUCUCUGAACCGAACCGCCGCAGCAGCAGCUACCUGAUGGCGAUGUUUCGCGUCUCCAAUUCCAGUCCCCUGGCGCUCAUCCGCAAAGCAGAAGGAGACAACACUGAUUCCGAUCCUAAAGGUAAAAACAAACAAACAAACCCUAAAUCAUAUUUUCUUAUAUAUCUUUGCUGCUUUGUUUUCUUUUGAUUAUUAUUAUUAGUUGAGAAUGAGAAGGAUUUUGCGAAAUUGAAAGAUUCCUUUACUAAUUCCAUAAGAUGAUUUCUUGUUUGUUUUCUUUUGAUUAUUAUUAUUAUUAUUAUUAGUUGUGAAUGAGAAGGAUUUUGCAAAAUUGGAAGUUUCUGUUACUAAUUCCAUAAAUAAUUUAAAUGGAUGAUUUCCUGUUUGUUUUCUUUUCAUUAUUAGUUGAGAAUGAUAUUGAUCCACCGAAAAAGAAAUUGAAAGUAGAAGAAGACGAAGAAUUCAGCACUGAUUUCGGUACAACCCCUAAAUCAUAUUUUGAUGAAGCGAAGUCAGGAAGUGAAAAGCCCAAUCCAGUCUUCGUAGAAAGGGAACAGUUUAACUUCAAUUAUUCUGGACUAGAAGAAGAAUACAGCACUGAUUUCGGUACAAACCCUAAAUCAUAUUUUGAUGAAGCAAAGUCAGGAAGUGAAAGUCCCAAAUCAUAUUUUGAUGAAGCAAAGUCAGGAAGUGAAAGUCCCAAUCCAGUCUUCGUAGAAAGGGAACAGUUGAAAUUCGAUUAUUCUGGACUAGAAGAAGAAAUGCCCUUCCCCCCAAAAGAAUAUGAGUUGCAAGAAUAUGAGUGGCUGAGACAUGUUUAUACUCAUAAAUAUGACUUUGCAAUGCCGGAGGAGUCAGGAAGUGAAAGUCCCAAUCCAAUCUUCGUAGAAAGGGAACAGCUUGAAUUCAAUUAUUCUUCUGGAAUAGAAGAAAUGCCCCCCCUCCCAAAAGAAUAUGAGUGGCUGAGACAUGUUUAUUGAUAAAUAUGACUUUGCAAUGCCGGAUCAAGUUGAUGAAGCGAUGUCAGG
Molecule: long non-coding RNA, 1106 nt
Filed under: Trifolium pratense (red clover)
Lineage: Eukaryota; Viridiplantae; Streptophyta; Magnoliopsida; Fabales; Fabaceae
Description: long non-coding RNA (TPRA_LNC012312)
Source: RNAcentral